RNAcentral lists this ribosomal RNA (660 nucleotides) under uncultured fungus. RNAcentral's name for it is "eukaryotic LSU rRNA". It matches the Rfam family "Eukaryotic large subunit ribosomal RNA", at positions 24 to 664 of the family's 3401-position model. The record is from RNAcentral. Lineage: Eukaryota; Fungi.
CCCGCUGAACUUAAGCAUAUCAAUAAGCGGAGGAAAAGAAACUAACAAGGAUUCCCCUAGUAACUGCGAGUGAAGCGGGAAAAGCUCAAAUUUAAAAUCUGUCAGUCUUUGGCUGUCCGAGUUGUAAUCUAGAGAAGUGUUAUCCGCGCUGGACCGUGUACAAGUCUCCUGGAAUGGAGCGUCAUAGAGGGUGAGAAUCCCGUCUUUGACACGGACUGCCAGGGCUUUUGUGAUGCGCUCUCAAAGAGUCGAGUUGUUUGGGAAUGCAGCUCAAAAUGGGUGGUAAAUUCCAUCUAAAGCUAAAUAUUGGCGAGAGACCGAUAGCGAACAAGUACCGUGAGGGAAAGAUGAAAAGAACUUUGGAAAGAGAGUUAAACAGUACGUGAAAUUGCUGAAAGGGAAACGCUUGAAGUCAGUCGCGUCAUCCAGGGAUCAACCUUGCUUUUGCUUGGUGUACUUUCUGGUUGACGGGUCAGCAUCAAUUUUGACCAUUGGAAAAAGAUUAAGGGAAUGUGGCAUACAUAGUGAUGUGUUAUAGCCCUUGGUUGCAUACAAUGGUUGGGAUUGAGGAACUCAGCACGCCGCAAGGCCGGGUUUUUAACCACGUUCAUGCUUAGGAUGCUGGCAAUAUGGCUUUAAUCGACCCGUCUUGAAACACGG